Molecule: RNA transcript, 5372 nt
Organism: Canis lupus familiaris (dog)
Lineage: Eukaryota; Metazoa; Chordata; Mammalia; Carnivora; Canidae
Gene name: collagen alpha-2(I) chain-like
Exons: 3
Source: RefSeq, a predicted model, not a curated record
UUCCCAGAAGACAGUUGAGCCCCUUCUGCAAACUGCUGCGGGGAGGGGGUCCAGGCGGUUCACCAGGGCUGAGCUGAGGCUCGUGGGGCUGGCACCCCCAAGAGACACCCCUGAGACCCGAGGUCCUGUUUCCCGAGAAGCAAGUCCAGAGACCAGGGCUCCCCUGUGGCCCCCAACAGCCCCGCAGGCCUGAGAAUUCCAGCCUCCAACCGACGCCCCCGGGCAGUUGGGGCCUUCCCCCUGCGUAUGGCCGUGGGCUCGGUUCUCCGAGGCCCAGGGGGACCCCGGCUGGGUGCUGACCCAGACAGUCCCGGGGACAGUGUGGCCCCCUGGCGGCCUCGCUCCAGGGCUCUCCUCUGAGACAGGCCCGGGCCUGCUCCUGACGGGCACCCUGACGACCUCUGGGGGCGCUUGUCCCCUGCAGCAUCCGGGGCCCACCCGCCUGAGACCACCGGACGGGUUUGGGCUCACAGGGUCGCUGGGUCGAGCGUCUCAGCUCCUGCUGCCCAGGGCUGUGCCCUGGAAACCGCGAGAAUAUGAAAGGGGUCCAGUCUUGCCCGCCCCACCCCACCCCCGCCGCCCACCGCUGCCCAAGGAGGAUUCGGUGACAUUCUCUCCUUCGGGCACACACGGGGACCGGGGGGCUCUCAGGGGUGGGGCUAACCAGCUGCCCCUUGGAGGGGCCUCUGGGGAGACAGCCCCCUCCCGUGCUGCCCCCCAAGGGAUCCUCUUCCCACCUCCCCACUUCGGGGACAGCACACCCCCAUCCCUGGGCAGACCAGCAGUCCCCAGCCUGGCAAGGUCACAUGGGGCCUGGGGCUGACCCUGCACCCGGGACUCCCUCCCCCAGCAGGUGUCUGCAGGGUGGCUUCCCUGAGGAGCCUCUGCCCGCGGAGAGUUCUUGUUGGAGGAACUUUCUGGCCUGAGAGACACCUGCGCCCGCCAGCCGCCCUGGGGCAGCUGUGGGGCCCUCACUGGUGUGGGGCCGCUCCCGGGGGCAUCUCUGAUGCACAGUGGGCUCCCCGGUUCCUGAGGCAGAGAGUCCCAGAGCCCACAGACAGAGGUCCCCCGCCUCGGCCGAGCCCGGGUGAGGCCCCAGGAGGCGAGGCCGCUCUAGGUCGGAGGCGGGCAGUGGGUGGGCAAGAGGAUGUGAAGCGGCCACCAGCAGGGGCCCAUGAGGAGCGUGGCCCCCAGGAGCUGGAGACGGGGACCCCAGGCUCGGACAGAAAGGGGAGCCGGGGGCUGCAGGCUGCUGUGGCCGGUGUCAGGGCCCGUGUCAGGGCCGGUGUCAGGGCCGCGUGUAGGGGAAAGCCCCGGAUGAGGCCUCCCUGGUUCGGGCAGUGACCACCUUGGGGGGCGUUUUGGAAGCUGCAGCCAGAGGGACCAUGUGCCUCCGGGUCGUGGGUGUUUCUCCCUCUGCCCCCUGUCCCCUGACACAACCCACGGAGUGGGUGGGACCGGGCGGGGGACACCAGCGCAGCCCAGGCCAGGCUCUGGGGCACUGUGGGGUCACAUCGAGGGUUCCCAAUCCCUUCAAACCCUCUGGGUCAUUUGUCAUGAGCAGAGGGGCCCGAGUUCACCCUGGGAUGUGUCACGGUGGGGACUUACCAAACAUGCUCAACACCCUGGAGCACCGUGGGAUGGAACCGGACCUUCCGGCCACACGGGGUGAUGGGACUCCGGAAGGCACAUCUGAAUGGGGCCCUCAGUCCCUGGCCCCCGGUGGCAUGCCCAUCUCCGUGGCAACGAGGGCCACGUGAGGAAGAGGUGAGCGGGCGCCGAGCCUGCACGUGGGGCUUCGAAGCUCGGAGCACAAGGGCAGGCUGCAGGCGGGGGCCCCAGGCAGGCCGGGGCUGGGCAGGCAGCCACUUGAGGGCAAAGCCAGCCGCCUGGGGACAGAUCGGAGCAGAAGUGGGCAGGUGCCAGGGCCCUGAGAGGUGCCUGUUGGCAGGGGCCCCCCGGCUGAAGGGCUUGGAACCCCCAGGCCCUGAGCUCAGUGGGCAGGCCCACCCUAGCCUGGGGCCUGGGAGAGGGUGUCCUACUCCUGACAGCCCUUCCCUGGGCCCUCACCCAGCCUGGAGGAGGCAUCCCGGAGGAGGAGCUGAGCAGGGCCGGGGAAACUGAGGCCUGAGGAUAGCUAGAGAUGGAUGGUGCAGGGCAGGCGGCGUCCCACCUCCCCAGGAGCAGCCGAGGGCCUCGCACGAGACAAAGGCUCGGGGGGCCCUGGGGUGGAGCUGGUGAGGCCCAUCCGAGCCGGGGUCAGAAGCCAAGCAGUGACCAGGACUCAAGGGGCAAUAUCCAGACAGGGUGCAGGUGUCAGUGGUGCAGCCCUUGCCCUGGGGUUGGCGACCAAGGGCCUGAGGAAGUGAGAGGGUGGCCCUCACCCCGGAGUGGGUGCGGUGUCAGGGGCAACCUGGGAAGGCCUCUUGGAGAAGGCAGAGAGGGACAGAGGCCCCUGGGUGCUCUUGGGGGGACCACGUGAGAGGAGGGCCAUCAUGGGGGUUCACGGUGGCAGCAGUGGGGAGCAGGGUGCGGCCUGACAAGGGAUCCCCGCUCCAGCAGUGAGGCUCCGUGGACGCAGAAGGGCGCGCGCCUCACGCCGAGGUCUCCUGCCCCCUGACCCAGGUCUCUGCUGUCCCCCACGCACCUGUCACUGCUAUAGUUUGAAGACCCAGAACCCCGUGUAUGGAAAUCUAGAUUGACCGCUGGACAGAGCGACCCGGGGCGCCAGCACCUCCAUGUGGAGUGACCCCUGGGCCCGGGAAGACCGUGAACACCAGGGAGUCCGGGCGCCCACGCUGCUCACGUCAUAGAGGGGCUGGCUCGACCCGGGGCCCACGCUGUGCUCGAGACUUCGCUCCUGCCCCCCGAGGUCCACACGGGCUGGCAGCACGGGGGAGACGGGGGGGGGGGCGCAGUUUCUGCUGAGUGGAUCCCUCCCUGGCAGGGAGCGGCGGGAUGGGGAAGGCAGGGCUCCUCCGAGUCCCGCUGCAGCCCACGGCUCCCAGCGACAGGCUGUCACCAUCUGACUCACUCACUUAUUCAGUACAUGAUAAUCGAACGCCCAGAAUGUACUGUCCCCCCGUCAGCUGGGGAGAGGAAGACGGUGUGAGCGGAUGGGCUGUGCCCAGGGGCUCCACCUGGCAGGGAGACAGACUCACUGGAAGGAAAGGGGAAACCGUCCAGGUGUGCCUGGGGGAAUCAGGGCAGGCCUCCUGGAGGAAGGGGCAUCCGAGCCGGGGCUUGCAGCAUGGGUAGGAGCUCGCCAGAUGGCGAGGGAAGAAAAGGUGUCGCAGCCCACAUGGGGGACAGCCCCAGCGAGUGUCAGGGUAGGAGGUGGUGUGCAAGGGCCCAGCCCGGGGCGGGGGAUGCACCUGCCGGGGGAGAGGGUCUCGGCCACAGGAAGGUAGCGUCUGGUAUCCAAGCUCCCCGCAUUCCCCCCGGACCCCCUCCUGCUCCUUGGGGGCCUCGGCCCACAGCCCUGCUGCUGCGGCAUCCACCCUGACUCUCCAGGGUCCGGUGGGGCCAGGGAGGGGGAGGCCGGGGCCAGACAGGGCUGUGGGCGGCUUCCAGAUGCCUGCAGCCCAGUGGCUGGGCCGGGCCUGCGCCCCCUGUGGUCAGCCCUGCUCCGGGCUCAGGCGAACACCUGCUCCUCCCCCGCGUGCUGCGUGGCCGGGGCACAUUCCUCGGCCUCCCUGUGCCUCGGCCACGGCCACCCGGGGCGUGAGGCAGAUUACUGGGCGUUGAUGACUAAAACGCUGGGCAAGCGUGCUGGGCAGGGACAGUGGAAGUGCGAGGACGCCCGGGGAGGAGUGGGGGGUGGACACUCAGGGGCCCUGGGGGGGGCGGGGAGGGGCGAGAGCCUGCGGGCUGGGCCUCGUCCUCACACCGGGUCCUCAGGAAACAGCGGCUGGGACAGAAGGAGGAGGAAGCACAGCCCAGAGCCCAGCGAGUGGAGCAGAGGACGAGCAGGUGGGCGAGCGAGCGAGCACGGAGCCCCCCACGUUUGCGUCCUUGCCCACGGCCGCCGCCCAUCUGCACAGUCUGGGCCCUUCAGCGUCUCAGGAGAUUUCUGGGCGCCUGGAAUAACACGCUCUGCCCUAGUUUUCUGGCAGCCCCGGGCUCAGUGAGGGAGUGAGUGGGUGGCUGCCUGCCUCCGACCAUCACAUCAGACAAAGGAGGUCACAUCCCUGUGGCCAAAGGGGUGAACAGUUCCAAGUCUGCUGGAAACAAGAGCCCUCCUGUCAGCUGUACACAGGGACCCUUAUGCCGCAUCGGCAGGAAACGGGCCACGUGGCCACAUCGGACACACCAGGGCUUCCGUGGGAGGGACGGGGCGUGGAUGUCGAGCCAGCCACCGGCAGGAUCCAUAGAGAGACGCGGGUUACUCACGGCACCACCCAAAGGACCAGCUCACUUCGGGUGAAGCUGCCUGGGUGUCCCCCACCUUGGGGCCCAGAUGGCCAGCCUCCUGCCUCCCCAACAGAAGUCCCCUCCACAGCACCCCUGGCCCGGGUCACCCCAGACCGUCUCGGGGACCUCCAAGGCCGGCGACCUCACGACCCCUGCAAAGGCAGCAGGGAGGGAGGGGGGACACGGGUCAUCGCACACCCGGACACCCAUCGAGGGCGGCGGUAACGAAGCCGCGCCGUCCCCCCAGGGCCGCACAGAUGGCGAAGAAGCCGUCCUCACGCUCUCCCGGGGUGCAGCUGGGUGGGCACAGGCCAGAGCUCUCCGGAAGCCGGCAGCCACGGGCGCAAAGGACGUGGUUGGGUGGGCCCAGCGACCACCCGCCCUCCACGCCACCCGGUGGAGGAAUCUGAGCCCAGGUGUGUUCAAACCCCGGAGCAGCACCGGCCACAAGAUGCCAACCCCAGGCCCCCUUGGCAGCCAGGGCGCUGGGCCAACCCCACGGUCCCCACCCUUUCCCCGAGGCGGUCAGUCCGGGGUGGGGGGCCUCCUGCACACUUGUGGGGUCGCGGGGGUCAUGGGGGUCGUGGCAGCCACGGGGUUAGGGGGUUUCCAGCCACCUGGAGGCUCGCAGUGGGGCCCCGUGCAGGGCAGGUGGAACAAGCCGGACAGCUUGGGGGGCCCUGUCCCGGGGGCUGCGCCCUGCUCCCCCUGCCCGUGCGGCCACCCCGCUGCCAGCACCCCACAGUCUUGAUCACGGCAGCUGCAGAGAAGCCUUGAUAUCGGGGAGACUGAUUCCUCCCGCUUCAUUCUUCCUGUUCCAAACUGUGUUCGCCAGUCCUGUUCCUUCUCCUUUCCCUGCAAACGUCAGAAUUUUUAUUUUUUUAAAAAGAUUUUAUUGGGAUCCCUGGGUGGCGCAGCGGUUUAGCGCCUGCCUUUGGCCCAGGGCCCAAUCCUGGAGA